This 252-nucleotide ribosomal RNA is filed under the name uncultured bacterium. RNAcentral describes it as "partial 16S ribosomal RNA". It matches the Rfam family "Bacterial small subunit ribosomal RNA", at positions 524 to 775 of the family's 1533-position model. The record is from RNAcentral.
UACGGAGGGUGCAAGCGUUAUCCGGAAUCAUUGGGUUUAAAGGGUCCGCAGGCGGAUUUAUAAGUCAGUGGUGAAAGCCCGUUGCUCAACAACGGAACUGCCAUUGAUACUGUAAGUCUUGAAUUCGGUCGAAGUGGGCGGAAUAUGACAUGUAGCGGUGAAAUGCUUAGAUAUGUCAUAGAACACCGAUAGCGAAGGCAGCUCACUAGGCCUGGAUUGACGCUCAGGGACGAAAGCGUGGGGAGCAACAGG